CUCCCCUGCAACACAUUAGCAUUUAACAUGAACAAAGGAUCAUCAUAUGAAUUCUUUUUUAUCUCCCAUAUCCAGGACCCCAUGAUAAGCGUUUUUGUACAGCGUUAAGCCUUAAACACACCCACGUGACAAAAGUCACAUCUUCGAUGUCAACGUGCAACCGCAUUUCUUUCUAACAAAUAUCGGUCAACUCGUAGAAACCUAUUUAUCUUCUUUACAUAAACCGCAUCAAUUUUCAACCACUACCGCAGCAAUCGAUCAGCUGCGGUCACCGUACAACGCGUAGGUCGUAGGUAUGAGAGAAAGAACUAGUAAAAAAAAAAAAAAAAGAAAGAAUAGAAAUGGAAGUGUGGAAAUGGGAAAUCAUCGCAUUGUAUGCACGUGUUUAUGCGUGGGUAUAUACUCGCAGUCGACGUUAUCUGCGAGUUAAGGUCAAAAAUAAUCUAAAGGGAUUAUGCGAAGAAAAUCGAGACGACGAACCAAUCGAUUAAAUUAACGUAACGAACGUGGUUAUCGAAAGUGUGCCUACGGAUUUCGAACUAUCGAAAUGGUCGGACAAGAUUAUGACCAUCGAUGAACUCGAAGCAGAGUCAGUGGAGUCUAAUAUAGAAGCGGGUUAGUCCGCUACCAAACGCUCCCCGCAUUAAGGUAUAUGUUAAUAUUACUGAUUUUCCAUUCGACUGUACCAACCGACGGUUGAACUCACUGGCGUGAAUCCAAGCCAGAGUGACGUCGUUUCACGAAGCGAGUUUGAAUCUUUGCAAGAGAGAAAGAGAGAUACCAACGAGAGAUGGAUGUGAGAACCGUGAGAGGAUGAAUCUUCGUUCAGUAUUCAUAUUCGAUAUCCUUACACGAUAAACUUAUGUCCGGAAAUAAAUUAUCUUAAAGAAAGGAAGAAAAAGGGAAAGAGAGAGAUCUAACAGGAAUCGAAUUUCCUUAGGCUCGGAGACGAUUUCCAGGACACCCUAUAGGAACGGUCAGACGAGCGAGCGUGUUUGCGAGCGUACACAUAAACGUUGAGAAGGCAUAUACUGCACCGAAAGUGGUUGACCCUGAGAGAGCCAGGCACAAAGGACUGAUUCACCCCGCGGAGUCCUCCGAGAAAAGAACCGACCGUUUACCCGGCUUCAUUUUUAAACUUAUCUAAUCUUACGAAGAAAGAUACUCGUUGAUAAUCCUACAAGAUAAAUCUCCGAUCGCUGAAAUAAAGGAAAAAGAAGAUAAAGAUUGAAAGGAAUGUUAAUUGCAUAGAUAACUCCUCUAAUUAUUAGAGCAUGCAAUUUUCUAUGACAAUAUUAAUGACAAUAUUAAUAAGGAAAAAGUUUGUGGUAUCGUUUUAAGAUUAAUCGUCCUAUGUUUUAUUAUUAUUAUUAUUAUUAUUAUUAUUAUUAUUAUUAUUAUUAUUAUUAUAAAGGAUUAUGUUUCAUAUACAAUUUGUUUUACAGAGAAAUAACGAAAAGAACUUAGUCGAUAAUGGCCUCACAAUUAUGCACUCUACUCGAUGGCAUGUAGGAUUUAUUACUAUGAUAAAAAGAAAAAGAACAACGAUCUUAUAGGACACGCCUUGCUAGAAGAUUCCAAAGAUUCCAUCAACGAUGAAAAGUCGACAUCCUCGAGAGUGAUGUAACGAUCGUAAUGAAAGAACGUGUGAAAGCAUUAUGACACUCGCAUCUAUACACAAACAUACAGGCUCAAAUAUGUCCUCUCGUUGACUGCACGAGAAAACCAUUGUACCGUGUGCAAUUGUACUUAGACACCGUGGGUUUUGAUCCCUCCUACCGAUAAUCUGAAAGAAAGGAAGUCAAGAAAUAACAAGCUAGGAAAACGAUUUUUGUGGAUCCAUGCUCGAUAUUAUAACUGUUUCUUUGUAUAAAUGCUUUCGUAUUUUCGACUUUGAGUUAAAUUAUUGCAUGGAUUUAAUACGUCAAAUUUGAUAGUAUUUUUAAAUAGUAUAAGCAAUGUCUCUUUUUUAAGAACUAUCAGUAGGAAUGCUGAUGUGUAAUUUGUGUUUUAUUUAUUAAUCUUCUUAUUUCGUAUAUUAAUAGUGUAUCAGUGUUUGCAUAUGGUAUUGCUUGUUAAUCUUAUUCAAUUAUAAAAAUAAAUUAGAUGAACUAAAUUGUGCAAAAUUUAACACAUAUUAGUUUAUCUAUCUUAAUAGAAAAUAAUUUAAAGCUAUUAAUUAUUCAGUUUAUACAGUUAGGCAAAGUAUAAAUAGAUACUCAUAUGCUUUCAUUAUACACUUUAGAUAAAGAUAAAAGAAUGUUAAACAAAUCUUGCAAAUUAUUCAAGUAAGACUUAUACUCGAGUCGUUU
Molecule: long non-coding RNA, 2312 nt
Organism: Vespula vulgaris
Lineage: Eukaryota; Metazoa; Arthropoda; Insecta; Hymenoptera; Vespidae
Exons: 5
Source: RefSeq, a predicted model, not a curated record